Molecule: non-coding RNA, 251 nt
Filed under: Tissierella creatinophila
Lineage: Bacteria; Bacillati; Bacillota; Tissierellia; Tissierellales; Tissierellaceae
Description: T-box sequence
Rfam family: T-box leader
About the family: Uncharged tRNA acts as the effector for transcription antitermination of genes in the T-box leader family.
Source: RNAcentral
AUAAAAACUUUGAAAAGAAGAGUAAACUUAUGAAAUUUCUUAAAAGAGAGUUCUACUUGGUGAAAAGGAACAGAAAAAUAAUAAGUUGAAUAUGGUCUUGGAGUUAGGUAGCUGAAUUUGUUUAAGUUAUCUCGGAUGCAUCCGUUAGAGUGAUAGAGUAUAAAAGACUUUAGUCUUUAAGUACUCGAAGAGAUAUUUAUCGUGAGGUAAAUAUAAACCUAGGGUGGUAACACGAAGCUUUCGUCCCUUUG